AGCGUUGUUCGGAAUUAUUGGGCGUAAAGGGUGCGUAGGCGGUUUGACAAGUCUGAUGUGAAAUCUAUGGGCUCAACCCAUAGUCUGCAUCGGAAACUGUCGGGCUUGAGUAUGGGAGAGGUGAGUGGAAUUUCCGGUGUAGCGGUGAAAUGCGUAGAUAUCGGAAGGAACACCUGUGGCGAAAGCGGCUCACUGGACCAUUACUGACGCUGAGGCACGAAAGCUAGGGGAGCAAACAGG
RNAcentral lists this ribosomal RNA (240 nucleotides) under uncultured bacterium. Its description in RNAcentral is "partial 16S ribosomal RNA". It matches the Rfam family "Bacterial small subunit ribosomal RNA", at positions 537 to 776 of the family's 1533-position model. The record is from RNAcentral.